AAGCCUAUUGAAAGGGCAUAAUCUUAACAAAUCUUUAUAACACUCUCACGCGUCAAAUAAGGACUCUCUUUCUUCUUGCCUAAAGUUUUUGAUCUCAUUCCUAACUU
Lathyrus oleraceus (garden pea) is the source of this 107-nucleotide small nucleolar RNA. Lineage: Eukaryota; Viridiplantae; Streptophyta; Magnoliopsida; Fabales; Fabaceae. The record is from RefSeq and is a predicted model, not a curated record.